UAGUGGCGAACGGGUGAGUAACACGUGGGCAAUCUGCCCUUCACUCUGGGACAAGCCCUGGAAACGGGGUCUAAUACCGGAUAACACCGGCUUCCGCAUGGGGGCUGGUUAAAAGCUCCGGCGGUGAAGGAUGAGCCCGCGGCCUAUCAGCUUGUUGGUGGGGUAAUGGCCUACCAAGGCGACGACGGGUAGCCGGCCUGAGAGGGCGACCGGCCACACUGGGACUGAGACACGGCCCAGACUCCUACGGGAGGCAGCAGUGGGGAAUAUUGCACAAUGGGCGAAAGCCUGAUGCAGCGACGCCGCGUGAGGGAUGACGGCCUUCGGGUUGUAAACCUCUUUCAGCAGGGAAGAAGCGAAAGUGACGGUACCUGCAGAAGAAGCGCCGGCUAACUACGUGCCAGCAGCCGCGGUAAUACGUAGGGCGCAAGCGUUGUCCGGAAUUAUUGGGCGUAAAGAGCUCGUAGGCGGCUUGUCACGUCGGGUGUGAAAGCCCGGGGCUUAACCCCGGGUCUGCAUCCGAUACGGGCAGGCUAGAGUGUGGUAGGGGAGAUCGGAAUUCCU
RNAcentral lists this ribosomal RNA (564 nucleotides) under Streptomyces sp. 384H11. Its description in RNAcentral is "bacterial SSU rRNA". It matches the Rfam family "Bacterial small subunit ribosomal RNA", at positions 93 to 671 of the family's 1533-position model. RNAcentral also lists the same sequence under 1 other name. The record is from RNAcentral. Lineage: Bacteria; Bacillati; Actinomycetota; Actinomycetes; Kitasatosporales; Streptomycetaceae.